RNAcentral lists this ribosomal RNA (198 nucleotides) under Triticum aestivum (bread wheat). Its description in RNAcentral is "partial small subunit ribosomal RNA". Lineage: Eukaryota; Viridiplantae; Streptophyta; Magnoliopsida; Poales; Poaceae. The record is from RNAcentral.
AUGAAAUUGUUACUAUACAUCUUUGAGCUCAUGUCUGGGCUCAAGAUCAAUUUCCAAAAAAGUGAAAUCCUAUGUGUGGGAGGGGAUGAUGAUACUCUUAAAGCAUAUGCUGAUAUGUUUAAUUGCCAAAUAGGGCACUUUCCCAUGAAAUAUCUGGGAGUGCCAGUGACCUUUUUCUCCUUGCGAGUUGCUGACUAG